This 491-nucleotide ribosomal RNA is filed under the name uncultured bacterium. RNAcentral's name for it is "bacterial SSU rRNA". It matches the Rfam family "Bacterial small subunit ribosomal RNA", at positions 33 to 507 of the family's 1533-position model. The record is from RNAcentral.
GACGACGCUGGCGGCGUGGAUUAGGCAUGCAAGUCGGACGGUAGGGCUUUAUCGUAAGAUAGAGUUUGAGAGUGGCGAACGGGUGAGUAACACGUAGGAAUCUACCCUUAAGACGGGGACAACCCAGGGAAACUUGGGCUAAUACCGGAUGUGAGCAACUUUUAGUUGUUUGAAAGGUGGCGUAAGCUGUCGCUUGGGGAUGAGCCUGCGUCUUAUUAGUUAGUUGGUGAGGUAACGGCUCACCUAGGCAAUGAUAGGUAGGCGGCCUUAACGGGUGGUCGCCCACACUGGGAUUGAGAUACGGCCCAGACUCCUACGGGAGGCAGCAGUCGAGAAUAGUCUACAAUGGUCGGAAGACUGAUAGUGCGACGCCGCGUGAACGAUGAAUCCCUUCGGGGUGUAAAGUUCUUUUAUAUGUGAGCAGUGCUUCUUAUAUUAACAGUAUGGGGAGAGAGAUAUUAGCAUAUGAAUAAGCAACGGCUAACUCCGUG